RNAcentral lists this long non-coding RNA (751 nucleotides) under Rattus norvegicus (Norway rat). Its description in RNAcentral is "long non-coding RNA NONRATT022419". Lineage: Eukaryota; Metazoa; Chordata; Mammalia; Rodentia; Muridae. The record is from RNAcentral.
UUUGCCUGACAGUCCGUGCAGCCAACCUUCUGCUUCCAGCGUCUGAAUUCAACUAAAUACUUAGUGUACAGUUGCUUCUGUGAAUAAGGAAGUGGCAAGAGCUGCUUCUCUUUCACACUCUUUCCAGUAGCCAGGUUCCAGAUCAGUAAUCUCCACCUCCUUGUGUGGUUCUGAAAACUUGGACCAAGGGCCCUGGAAACUAUACUGCAGGCCCCUGAGAAAACAGAGAAGGAGAAGAGGAGCGUGGGAUGCUUAUUUCUUUCUGUCUUCAAGACAAAAGCCUGAUCCAUGCUAGCCAGAAGGAAUGAACAGUAUAUUCUGAACCUAAGUUCCCAGGAUGGAGGAUCAUAAAAGCUUGGGGUUUCCUCUGUGCCUGCAGACACCACCAUCCAGCUGGGGAGCCCCAAGCCAGCAGCGUGGUAGUCUCAGCAGAUGGCUUUCCCAGUUAGCAGAUUGAGUGUGGAUGCAAGGCAGUAAUGUAAUGGCAAACAGAGGUCCUAUUUUCUGGCCAUUUGUGUCCAGUCAAGCCACACUUCUGGUCUAGUGUGGCAUCAGUUUCCUGCUCUGUAAAACAGGUAGUUUAACUAGAUGAGUACUUUUCAUUUGUCUAAUAUCAAAGAUGAAUCAUUUCAACAGCAGAUUCCACCCCUCUCCCCUACCCACCCCACCCCUUCCCCCACUGCCUUGAAGGAGCUUUGAAGCUAUGAAGAGCUGUUUGUCUGAAAGCGCUCUCUCUCUCUCUCUCUCUCUC